UACGUAGGGUGCAAGCGUUGUCCGGAAUUAUUGGGCGUAAAGAGCGUGUAGGCGGCUUGAUAAGUCUGCUGUGAAAGUCCAGGGCUCAACCCUGGAAAGCCGGUGGAUACUGUUGAGCUAGAGUCCGGAAGGGGCGAGUGGAAUUCCUGGUGUAGCGGUGAAAUGCGCAGAUAUCAGGAGGAACACCAAUGGCGAAGGCAGCUCGCUGGGACGGUACUGACGCUGAGACGCGAAAGCGUGGGGAGCAAACAGG
Molecule: ribosomal RNA, 253 nt
Filed under: uncultured bacterium
Lineage: Bacteria
Description: partial 16S ribosomal RNA
Rfam family: Bacterial small subunit ribosomal RNA
Source: RNAcentral